CAGGAGGCUGGCAUAGCCCAGGGGAGUCUCAGGGGAAGCGCCAUUCCCCUUGCCAGGACCUGUGGGACAGUGAAAGCAGGGGGAGGCGAGCAGACCUUGAUGUUUACCGAGGCCCCUUUGGCUCUGCCGGCUCCCUAAGGUUUUUCUGGGCUCAUGCCAGCUGGGCCGGGCAGGCUCUGGGACGUGGGAAUUCACAGCCCAGUGAGGAGGUGGUCCGGAGGUGUGUGAGAAACAAGAAAGCUACAAGGAGUAAGCCACAAGCAGCACUGCCCCAUGGCUUCUGCUUCCUCUAGUUCUCCCUCUGACUUCUCUUCAUGAUGGACUGUGAUCUGGACAUGUAACCUGAAAUAAAGCCUUUUC
RNAcentral lists this small RNA (360 nucleotides) under Rattus norvegicus (Norway rat). RNAcentral's name for it is "uncharacterized LOC108350618". Lineage: Eukaryota; Metazoa; Chordata; Mammalia; Rodentia; Muridae. The record is from RNAcentral.